RNAcentral lists this unclassified non-coding RNA (701 nucleotides) under Hevea brasiliensis (rubber tree). The record is from RNAcentral. Lineage: Eukaryota; Viridiplantae; Streptophyta; Magnoliopsida; Malpighiales; Euphorbiaceae.
AUGAAAUCAAAAUAUAGAUAUUAAACUAUUGAUUUUUAAAAAAAUAACCUGUGUUCAGACCUCCUUAUCAAAGCAUGGUGAAUAAGAAACAGGGAAUAAAAUUGCCGAAAUUAUGUAGCGGCCCUCGUUGAACAAACUAAAUUUUCUCAUAAAGCUUAGUAUGAACACCCACCUAUCAAAUUAGAGGUUCAAUCUAUUGAGGGUUAAAUCAUGUGGUACAUGGUCAUCUAUACUACUUUUUGUAGCCAUGUUUUCCUUGUCACUUCUAACAACUGGUGGUUGCAUAUGGAACCUUCAUAGUCCACUUAGUUUAGUGCUUCUUUUUCUUGGCAUCAUCAAUGUGGAACAUAAGCUGCAACAUAACCAGAUUUCAGCACAAACACUAGAGGAGGAGAGAGUUUCCAUGUUCAUGACAUUUACCUUUGUCCCAACAUAAAAUGUAAUAAACAUGCUACCCAAUACAGGCAAUCCUUUUUUUGUGAGAAAUUGUGAAAUCAACCAAUUAAUGCCCGAUGGCCCAAUAACAUAGCCAACAAGGUUAGCAACCAUUAGACAAGUGAUAGUGACAGCACCAGCAACUGCACUAAGUUCUCGGAAAAGAAACUCCCCAAAAGUACUCUCUGCCUGUAACCCAUUUGCCACUGAUUUCACCAUCAUUUCUGGAAUAAAGAAUAAACAUGUCAACCAUGCCCAUGAAAGAA